Felis catus (domestic cat) is the source of this 4230-nucleotide long non-coding RNA. RefSeq lists it as uncharacterized. Lineage: Eukaryota; Metazoa; Chordata; Mammalia; Carnivora; Felidae. The transcript is spliced from 3 exons. The record is from RefSeq and is a predicted model, not a curated record.
CCUGGGGGAUAAAACUCCAGAGUCUUUACAAAGGCCUACAAGGCCCUUCCUGAUCUGGCCCCAGUACCUCUCUGACAGUUUCUCCAGCUAGUCUGUCCUGGCUCCCUCUUCUCCAAUCCCUCUGCCCCAAAGAUUCUUCUCCCAGACCCACCGGGGCUCCUUCUCCCAUGUCCUUCUCAGGGAGGCCUUUCCUGCCCACCUUAUUUUAACUGUCUCCUGGCCCUCACUCCCCCCACUCCAGCAUUCCAUCUCCCUCUCCUGCUUUUUCCUCUCCUUAGCCCUCAGUACCUUGUUACAUGGUGUAUAAUUUAUUCUAGUGUCACCCCUUAGAAGCUUAGGGAGUUUUUAUUCCCCAUGUUCACUGCUGUAUCCCCAGUGCCCAGAUCAGUGCGCAGUGCUCAGUAUUUGUUGAGUGGAUGAAAGCAGACAAGAUUUUUGCCUGCGUGAGGCUUAUAUCAUAAUAGUUGCAAGUGCUGAUAAAUUCCUUCUGAGUACAGGAGGAUGGUUUUCUGUGUAAGAAAUAACAGUUUUGUGAAACUUGUUAUUGAAGUGGAAAAGACAUACAGAAAAGGGUGCAUCAUAAGUAUUGAGCUUGCUCAGUUUUAACCAACCAAAUACCUGUGAGCAACCAGCACCCAAAGCAAUAAACAGAAAUGACCAGCUUCUCCAGAGGCCCUCGAGGUGCUCUCUUUCAGUCACAACCAACUCCCUGCCCCUCAGUCACCAUCCUGAUUUCUAAUAGCACAGGUUGGUAUUACCUGUAUUUUACAUGAAGUCACCAUACAGUAUGAACUCUUGUUUCUGGCUUCUUUCACUUAAUAUUUUAUGUAUGAAAUCCAUCCAUAUUGUGGCAUGUAGACGUUACAAAAAUUUUGAAGAACAUAUUGUUGCAGAAGAGAUGUAUUCUUACUGAUGUCAAAAGAACUGCUUUGGUUGCUGUGUUGACUAUAGCUAAUGGUGGGUGUGGGGGGUACUGUGGCCAGGGAAGGAAGCAGGAAGACCAGCUGGGCUUGUGGGUCUGGUGGUGAUACUAAGGGGGAGACAGAAUGGCUGGAAUGUGGAUAGACCAAGGGAGAAAGCCAAUAGGAUUUGCUGAUGGAAUGGAUGUGGGGUAUGAGAGCAAGAGCAGGAUCAAGGAUGAAGCCAAUGUUCGUGGCUUGAGCAAUAAGGAUGGAGUCUCCAUUUACAGGGAUGGGAAAGGGUGUCAUGAGGGAGCAGGCAAGGCAGGAAGAUCAGGAGUUGUUCUGGAUGUUCCACGUGCCUAACAGACAUCCAGGCGGAGCUGUUAGAAGGUACAGGGAUCUCAUAGGAGUCUGGAGCUGGAGGAGAUCUUGAGAAGAAAGUCUGCUUGGUGUUGUGUUUAAAAGACAACAGGAGGAAGGCAAGUGAGGACAAAUAGAACAGACAGCAUUUCUAGACAUACUGCAAAUGGGAAAAGAGAUAUGUGCCGGUUGCUGGAAGGGGAUGUGGGGUCAAGAGAGGCUUCUCCCAAUUUUUCUUUUGCUUUAUGAAUUGAGAGAAAUGAUGGUAGUGAUUUGCUAAUGAGAAGCUCUAGAAAGGAAAACUCCAUGGAGAUUCUGUAAGAGAGGAACUACUCUCUUCACAAGGCAUGCCCAACACAGAACAGAGACCCUCAAGAAAUCUGUUAGUAAAUGACUUUGAAUUAACCAAACACAUCCCUAACAAGAGUUGUCUUAUGACAUCAUAAAUAAAACACCAGAGCACUUUCUUAGGAUUGCAGCUAGAACAAGGCAAGUGUGCCCUGCUAUGACAAAGCUUAUUAGAAAGGUCCAUAUAUGCGGUGGCCAGAACCUGCCUCCUGAAACCUGACCGAGGCUUAAAGACGAAGGAUCCCUGGGUCAGAUGAGAGCACAGGUGUCAGUGAGUAACGAUGCCACAAUUCUAGCCUCUUUAGAAAGUAUCACCUAUCUAUCACUGGUUUCUUCAAGAUGACCUACGCACAGGGGCUUACCCUGGAGCAGCACAGCAGAGUGUUGAGAGCACAGAUUGUAGACAGACACUGCCUGGGUGCAAAUCCAAGGUCUCCUGCUUAUGCCAUGGGCAAGUUCUUUAACUUCCAUGUGCUCAGUUUCCUUGGCUGUAUUUCAAGAUCAGUAAUAGUACCUAUUUCAUAGGAUUGCUGUGAGGAUUAAUGAAGUGAUGAUGUUCCCAGGCUCUGCACUAGAAACCAGAGAUUUGGCAAUGAUGAUGAUAAUGUCUUGUCCUCAGAAAACUUAGCAAACUUCUACAGCACAAAGGCAUAGCAAAACUGCAACUAAGUUGAAAGCACACAAUACUGGUUUUGGUUCUCAGUGUCGACAGGCAUGAGGUGAAGGUUUAAAAAACAAAAAAAAGUAACACCCAUGGAAAUUUAUCCAGCUAAAAAUGGUACACCUCUUUCUGAUCUGCUUCAGUGGCCCUUCUGCACAAGUGUGAUUUCUGCCCAGCAUGGUAAGAAACUGUAAACCACAACGGGGCAAGGCCAGGUAAUGAUCGGACACGUGCCUCAAAGUCAUUGGCUUUGGUUCUGUGAGCAGCUGAAGAGCCCCUGAUGUCAUCAGGUAAGGCAGCUCCGUGGUCAGAUCUGUGGGCAAAUGGACUGAAUGAUGGCAAAAUCUGAAGAUAAGGAGGCCAUUUCAGAAACUCUUCUCUGCAGUCCGUGUGGGAGAUAAUCAAGUCUGAACGACUGCAGCUGUGGUGGGGAGGUAGUGGAAAGGGCAGGUGAGGUAGAAACAAAAUGACUUGGUGACCAACUGGGUUUAGAGUAGAGGGAGAGGUAGAAAAAGUCAAGGAUAAUUCCCUGGCUACUGACUUGAGAAGAUACCUGUCUCCAUGUCACAUCAUCCUAUCAGCUUUCAAUUUUGAAUUCUGGCUUCCUGAGAAUGGUCACUGGGGCUUUGCCAUAUUUCCUUUGUCCUAAGGAAUGUCCCUAGGGGCUACUGACUCUAGAGGCAGAAACACAGAGGCAGCAACCACCAGCUGAAUGGUGAUGACGAGAGGGAAGCACCAGCCUCAUCUAUAUAACCUUCAGCAACCAGCAGUUCUUUACAUGACGUUCAGUUUAAUUCUGUACACAAAUAAUUAGGUCAAAUGUAGUUAUUUUGGACCCCAGUAGUACAAGGCACUAUGGAAAAUAAAAGCCAAGUGCAAGAGCAGGUUUCUUGAGAGUUAUACAGGAAAGCCAUGCAGUGCAAAGCAAAGAUUUUGUGGUUAGUCAGGUGCAAGUCUGACUUCUGGCUCCAUUACUGUCACUGGUUGUGUGACCUUGGGAAACUGAUAUCCUUGACACUUGAUUGCCUCCUCAGUAAAAUAUAUAGAUAAUAUAGCCCACCUCAUCUGUAACAAUUAAUGAGAUAUAUAUGUAAAAUUCCUACCAGCACCAUGCCUAACUUAUCAUAGGUUCAAAAGGUAAUAAUAAAGUAAAUAUCCUUCUUUAUUUCCCAUCCCCUUUGACUACUCAAAGACCUCUAGCCUCCAAUAGUGUCUAGUUAUCACCAAUGGGUAUUUCUCUCUACCUCCCUCACUCCCAUCUGCACCGAUGUCUAUUGUUAGAAAAAUGAAGCUACUAAAAGCAAAAUAGGAUGAUAUCUAUAUCAGAGAGUGUUGCAGUCCAUCCAAUAUUCACCUUUCCUUUCCUCCUCAUUAAUGAGUGCUGAUUUUGCUGGGGGUAGCAAAGUACCAAGCUAAAAACAUGUUCCAGGCUCCAUUGCCAUUAGGGGUAGCCAUGUGACACAUUAGGGCCAAUAAAUCUUGCUAGAGAGGUUUUGGAAAGUUUCUGGUCACAGGCACUUUUUUUCUUAAUGUUUAUUUAUUUUUUCACUUUUUUGAGAGAGAGAGAGAGAGAGAGAGAAAGAAAGAAUGAGAAUGAGAAUGAAUGAGGAUCCCAAACAGGCUCCACACUGUCAGUGGGGAGUCCAACUCAGGGCUCCAUCUCAAGCACCAUGAAAUCAGGAACUAGACCGAAAUCAUGAACUAGACCGAAAUCAAGAGUGGAUGCUUAACUGAUUGAGCCACCGGCACUUUUAUUCUCCCUUCACCAUCCUUCCUUUCCCCAACUUCCUGGAAACUGGAUAUAAUGGAUGGAGCUGCGAUAGCUAUCUUGCAAACCAUGAGGAAAAGAUCAAGAUUCAUAGGACAUUGGCCUUGAUAUGCUUGAGUUCCUAAAACAGUGCCUCCACCACCUUCCAAGAGCCUUGUCAUUACAUGGGACAAAUAAAGCCCUAAAUUUAA